This 466-nucleotide ribosomal RNA is filed under the name uncultured bacterium. Its description in RNAcentral is "partial 16S ribosomal RNA". It matches the Rfam family "Bacterial small subunit ribosomal RNA", at positions 28 to 507 of the family's 1533-position model. The record is from RNAcentral.
GAUGAACGCUGGCGGCGUGCUUAACACAUGCAAGUCGAACGGAAAGGCCACAGCUUGCUGUGGUACUCGAGUGGCGAACGGGUGAGUAACACGUGGGUGAUCUGCCCUGUACUUCGGGAUAAGCUUGGGAAACUGGGUCUAAUACCGGAUAGGAAUCACAUGUGGGUGUGUGGUUGGAAAGCUUUUGCGGUAUGGGAUGAGCUCGCGGCCUAUCAGCUUGUUGGUGGGGUAAUGGCCUACCAAGGCGUCGACGGGUAGCCGGCCUGAGAGGGUGUACGGCCACAUUGGGACUGAGAUACGGCCCAGACUCCUACGGGAGGCAGCAGUGGGGAAUAUUGCACAAUGGGCGCAAGCCUUAUGCAGCGACGCCGCGUGGGGGAUGACGGCCUUCGGGUUGUAAACUCCUUUCGUCAGGGACGAAGCGAAAGUGACGGUACCUGGAUAAGAAGCACCGGCUAACUACGUG